CUUGUAAAUUGGGUUUGAAAUAGUUCUGCCCUUUAAGGAAGUUCAGGUGGUUUAACACGUUCACCAGGAGACCCUAUUUUGCCGUAAUCUAUAUGUCUCGCUGCCAGGCAGCUCGAACCACCGGUGGUGCAUGCGCAAUUGUGUACCCCUUGUACCAACAGUGGUCCGAGCUGGCCAAUGGGACGGUCACGCACAUACCACUGCUGGUUCAAGAUGGUGGGAACGUGUUAAUUGUGAGUCGUGUCUUCACUUCCGGAACUGAAACCUCUACAGGGGCACUGAAAGUGAGAAAGGACCAGCUAGUACUUAGCUUCAAUCCUGUUCAGUGUUGCUGGGAGAUAACAAAUCGGCAGGCUCAGAACAAGCAGAGGCUCCCCAGCAAAGGUGCGAAGACCAUUAGGGCUUCCAGGAGACCCUCACCUUAGCACGGAGGAAUGAAGCACCAACAGUUUUUCUCUCAGGUGGACCGGAAGAAGGUACGUGGAGCACCAGGCUUAAAAUCAGAGAGGAAGGUGCCUGGAAAGAUAGGGAGCCCUGCCACAGGCCCCAGAGAGCUGCGCACACCCACACGAAUGACAACUCAGAGGUCUCAGGAUUGCUGGGACGAGGCACACAGC
Molecule: long non-coding RNA, 617 nt
Filed under: Fukomys damarensis (Damara mole-rat)
Lineage: Eukaryota; Metazoa; Chordata; Mammalia; Rodentia; Bathyergidae
Description: lncRNA (ENSFDAG00000029517.1)
Source: RNAcentral